This 83-nucleotide transfer RNA is filed under the name Streptomyces sp. AC1-42T. Its description in RNAcentral is "tRNA-Thr". RNAcentral also lists the same sequence under 1 other name. The record is from RNAcentral. Lineage: Bacteria; Bacillati; Actinomycetota; Actinomycetes; Kitasatosporales; Streptomycetaceae.
GCUGCCUGACUCAGCCCGUACGCCAGGGCGCUCGCGUACUCGUAAUGCGUAGGUCUCGGGUUCGAAUCCCGAAGGCGGCUCCA